This 569-nucleotide ribosomal RNA is filed under the name uncultured fungus. RNAcentral describes it as "eukaryotic LSU rRNA". The stretch from base 207 to 360 matches the Rfam family "5.8S ribosomal RNA". The record is from RNAcentral. Lineage: Eukaryota; Fungi.
CGUAACAAGGUCUCCGUAGGUGAACCUGCGGAGGGAUCAUUACACAAAUAUGAAGGCGGGCUGGAACCUCUCGGGUUACAGCCUUGCUGAAUUAUUCACCCUCGUCUUUUGCGUACUUCUUGUUUCCUUGGUGGGUUCGCCCACCACUAGGACCAACAUAAACCUUUUGUAAUUGCAAUCAGCGUCAGUAACAAAUUAAUAAUUACAACUUUCAACAACGGAUCUCUUGGUUCUGGCAUCGAUGAAGAACGCAGCGAAAUGCGAUAAGUAGUGUGAAUUGCAGAAUUCAGUGAAUCAUCGAAUCUUUGAACGCACAUUGCGCCCUUUGGUAUUCCAAAGGGCAUGCCUGUUCGAGCGUCAUUUGUACCCUCAAGCUUUGCUUGGUGUUGGGCGUCUUGUCUCUAGCUUUGCUGGAGACUCGCCUUAAAGUAAUUGGCAGCCGGCCUACUGGUUUCGGAGCGCAGCACAAGUCGCACUCUCUAUCAGCAAAGGUCUAGCAUCCAUUAAGCCUUUUUUUCAACUUUUGACCUCGGAUCAGGUAGGGACACCCGCUGAACUUAAGCAUAUCA